RNAcentral lists this ribosomal RNA (279 nucleotides) under uncultured bacterium. RNAcentral describes it as "partial 16S ribosomal RNA". It matches the Rfam family "Bacterial small subunit ribosomal RNA", at positions 506 to 784 of the family's 1533-position model. The record is from RNAcentral.
UGCCAGCCGCCGCGGUAACACGGGGGGCGCAAGCGUUAUUCGGAAUUAUUGGGCGUAAAGCGCGCGUAGGCGGCUAUUUAAGUCAGAUGUGAAAGUCCACGGCUCAACCGUGGAAGUGCAUUUGAAACUGGGAGGCUUGAGUAUUGGAGGGGGUGGUGGAAUUCCCGGUGUAGAGGUGAAAUUCGUAGAUAUCGGGAGGAAUACCGGUGGCGAAGGCGACCACCUGGCCAAAUACUGACGCUGAGGUGCGAAAGCGUGGGGAGCAAACAGGAUUAGAUA